UUGUUGCAGUUAAAAAGCUCGUAGUUGGAUGUAUGACAAGACCGGGCGGUCUGUCGCAAGACAGCACUGAGCGUGUCGCGUCACGAUGCUGGGGAACUGCUCAAAAGGCAGGGAACCAGGGAUUACUUUGAAGAAAUUAGAGUGUUUAAAGCAGGCGAUUGCUUGAAUACAUUAGCAUGGAAUAAUGAGAUAGGACUGUGGUCUUAUUUUGUUGGUUUGAGGGCCGUAGUAAUGAUUAAUAGGGAUAGUUGGGGGCAUUUGUAUUCAGUAGUCAGAGGUGAAAUUCUUGGAUUUACUGAAGACAAACUAAUGCGAAAGCAUUUGCCAAGGAUGUUUUCAUUAAUCAAGAACGAAAGUUAGGGGAUCGAAGACGAUUAGAUACCGUCGUAGUCUUAACCAUAAACUAUGCCGACUAGGGAUCGGCAGAUGUCACUGAGACGCUGUCGGCACCUUUCGAGAAAUCAAAGUUUUUGGGUUCUGGGGGGAGUAUGGUCGCAAGGCUGAAACUUAAAGGAAUUGACGGAAGGGCACCACCAGGAGUGGAGCCUGCGGCUUAAUCUGACUCAACACGGGAAAACUCACCAGGUCCGGGACAUGGUAAGGAUUGACAGAUUG
This 615-nucleotide ribosomal RNA is filed under the name uncultured eukaryote. RNAcentral's name for it is "SSU rRNA". It matches the Rfam family "Eukaryotic small subunit ribosomal RNA", at positions 610 to 1250 of the family's 1831-position model. The record is from RNAcentral.